Molecule: unclassified non-coding RNA, 402 nt
Filed under: fungal sp.
Lineage: Eukaryota; Fungi
Description: partial internal transcribed spacer region
Rfam family: Eukaryotic small subunit ribosomal RNA (bases 1-46)
Source: RNAcentral
AAGUCGUAACAAGGUCUCCGUAGGUGAACCUGCGGAGGGAUCAUUAACACUAUUUGGUCUUGGAUUGUCAUGGCAACAUGACUUUUCAAGAUUCAAAUUUUCCACACACCGCGUGCACUCGGUUACUUCGGUAACCAUUAACUAUUUCGAGGGUUAGGUGACGAUGCGACGAAGUGAGCCUUACAACUUAUCAUACUGUUGACCGAAAGGACUUCAGUGUGGUUCGACCAGGCAGCAACUCUUCCGUCCUUCGAGGUAGUUCUUUGUGGGGGAUGUAACACUUCACACAUUCCUCACUCCAACCAUUACGCCAAUGUACUGAAUCGACGAAGGGAGCUGAAAUGCUCAUCUUCUCAAAAUCCAACUAAGCACAACUCUUAGCAACGGAUAUCUUGGUUCUCA